Fundulus heteroclitus (mummichog) is the source of this 263-nucleotide long non-coding RNA. RefSeq lists it as uncharacterized. The transcript has 3 exons. NCBI's taxonomy places the organism in Eukaryota, Metazoa, Chordata, Actinopteri, Cyprinodontiformes, Fundulidae. The record is from RefSeq and is a predicted model, not a curated record.
CACUGGUAGAGCAACUUGCUAGCUCACGUAGCUCAUCAAACACGGCAUGUUUGAGGACAACCCGACAAAUUUCUGGUCUCUUUCUGCAGCACUUGGGCCAAAUAUAUGAAGAUGGUUGGAAGUGAGGCGGAGUCGACUGGAUCCGCCCGUCCUGCCAGAUGUGCUCCUGGUGCGGAUGAUACAAAUUCUCCAGGUUUGAUUACUUCAUCAGAUCGGUGAGCAUUAAAGCUUAAAUGUGCUUAAAUGACCGGUGUCGUGCCGAU